Long non-coding RNA from Taeniopygia guttata (zebra finch), 3911 nucleotides. The record is from Ensembl. NCBI's taxonomy places the organism in Eukaryota, Metazoa, Chordata, Aves, Passeriformes, Estrildidae.
UGCAGUCCAGAAAGAUUGUAUUGCCUGAACAGUUGCAGGGACAAAAGACCCUGGGCUAUUGCCCAGAUACAGUUUUAUACAGCAAAAUUAAGAGAUAAGGUCUAAACAAUAAAGACAGUGUUCAGCAUGGGCUCAUCAGAACCACCCCAGGGGUCAGGUCCAAUGGGAACUGCUCAGGGGUGGGGAGAAGGGGGCUUACAGAAAGGUGCUGAAGCGAAGCUUUCCCGAAACAAAGGGGCAUACAUAAAUGUAUCUUUCCCUCAUACCUAAAUGUAUCUUUUCCUCAGCUUCCAAUUCCCAAGGCCUUUCUAAAUCCCUUCCUCCACGCUACCACGCUAGCGUGAUAGCAACAUCUCCCUCUUUUUUACUUAAUAAGAUGAACGGUGCCUUGGGAGAAGGUAAAACUGCGGCUUUUAAACUGCAGUGUCUUUCUGCUUGUCGUCUUCCCACCAAUCGCUCUCCGUGACGGCAGCAGCGAUGAGAACAGGUGCGGAAGCCUUAGGCUUCGAGGUGAUGACCUUGGAGAUUAUUCGCUUAAGAAUCCCAAAUGCUAACAAAACUAAAAACAGUGCAACUAGAAAGUAAAAGAUGUCUUUUAAAAGAGACACUGCCCACCCAGAAAGGUCCCAGUCUUUGAACAGAUUUUUAAACCAAUCUUCAUUUUCUUGCUUCACACUCCCAAUGAGGCUUCUCAUUUCCUGAAUGGACGAGUGGACACUCUGGCCUUUAGAUGACAGAUCAAAACAACACAGCCCAUCAAACUCUUUAUAUCCAUGACCAUGUGCCAACAGCAGGAAAUCAAUAGCUGCCCGAUUUUGGAGGGUAGCCUUUCUGGUUAUUUCCUCGUCUUCUAGGAGGUUACUCAGGGCUGUUGAUGUUAAAUUUGCCUGCUUCGUCACCCAGCAUUCCAGAUUGCCUAAUUCACUCAAUGCUUUUGCUGCCGCAACCCAUGGUAAAAACACAGAGACGGCAACUCUUUUGGAUUUUGCCCAAUGGUAAAUUUCUGCAUCACAAUGUUCAUCAAAUUGACUUGCACUUCGCUUAGCAAUUUUUGUCUCACCUUUUGCUCGCCCGAUUGGAAUUUGGGUCAUGUUGGGGGAAGCAAGGGUCAGACGCCCGAAAGUGCAUGGACCUCCAAUAAGACGAGAGGGGAUUCCAGGGUAUGCUCUGUCCCCACAGAUAAGAAACACUCCCUUGUCCAGCUUGCGGGGACGGAAAUCAGUGGUGGAUGCAGAUUUCAGCUUAUAGACAGCUGUGCACCAUUGACUCGCCCUGAAUUCCACCUUGUACUGUUUGACUUGCUCAUAUAAUUUUACUUCUUUGGUUGGGGAAAAAUCAAAUUGAAUGCAAUAUUCAGCUUUUGCAGAGCCCAGGAGUUCUAAUUCCUGGGGCUCUCCCUCAGCAGAGGGCAAGUCUAGGAUCCACUUUUGCCACAAAAUGAGGGGGUUUUGCACUGGUAUUUUCCCUACUCCAGGUAUUUUAUUUUCGUUCACCUGCUUUUGCAAGCGGACCAGACCGAUUGGAAACUCAUCCCCCUUACUUGGAACCCCUACUAAACAUGUGGACAUUGGAUUUUCUGCUGAGGCAGUAGACAAACACAUGUGAUCUUGUUUCAAGGCUUGGGCGAGUGUGACCCACACAUUUUUCUUGGGCUGUGGAACAAUCCACGCGUCCACCGUGCACGGGUAGAUGGCCAUUGUCUGGAACCAAAUGAUGAGCAGGAAUGUGGAAAUUGACAUUCUGCUAGUCUGAAAGAAAGAUAAAAUCAUAUAACAAGGUAAACUAACUCUGAAAAAGGUACAAUUUGCUCUGCCAGUAUAAAGGAAAAAGAUUCCCCCUGCUCCUACUUUCCCCCUUUGCGAAGGAGGAGGCCCUGCAGACCCCGGAGUCCUCGGGGUUGCUGCUGCUGAAGCAACCACCCUUUCCCGCGGACUUAUCACUGAGUCCUCUGUCAUUAGUGUAGCUUUUCUCGUGCACUCCUCAAUGAGCUGAUCGAGUGUGGGUGGAGGCGAUGCUGGAAGGGCCAGGAUGACUCGCUGACAGGCUUCAUUUGCAUUUGUGGUGGCAAUUUCUAGUGUGAGCUGAUCUUGGAGCUCUGGAUUCUGCACCCUUUUCUCGACUGAAGCUCUCACUCGAUCCACAAAAUCCAUGAAUGGCUCUGCAACAGACUGCUUCAAAUCGAUAUAAGAAAUGACAGGUUCUUUAGAAGGCAUGUUAAAAAAAUGCACGUUCUGCCGCAUCCCUGGACAGGUCUAACACUGGUCUGGGAAUGCCUGCUGCUUGCUUCUCAGCUUGGCUCCAAUCACCCUCACCCACUAGAUGUUCUAAGGUGAUUUCCUCAUCCUCUAUAUCUGUGGAAUGGGUUGAACUCUGCAAAAUCUCUGGAAGGAGGUCUCCUGCAAGCCUUUUCCAAGUUCUCUCCCACAAUCUAAAUUCAGAUUGAGGGAGCAAACAGCUGAAAAGACGUCUCAAAUCAGCAGGGACAAAAGUUUUGGAACUUAGAGUAGCUUUUAAAAUGCUCUUAAAAAAUUCACUCCUUUCUCCAAAUUCAUGUUUUGUUUUGCAGAGUUCCCUGAUACUGUCGUAUGAAAGGGGUUCCCAUCUGGGAUUUUGUCCUCUCGCAUUAUAAACAACUGGGGCCAUGAACAGAGGAUCGGUGUCUGUGAUCAGUUUCUGUUUCCCGGAGCCGACAGCCCCGGAGCUGGCAGCCUCGGCUCUGCCGUUGCCGAGGGAACCAGGAGCGAGAGGGGGGGGCGGCUUGUGUGGGAGUGGCCGCAGCUGGAGGGGCCGUGUGGAGCGGGGCAGGGGCAGGGGGUGGUGACGGAGUUGCGAGGGGAGGAGCUGAGGGCUGGACCGUGGGCUGAAUCGCCGCAAGGGAGGAGGGGCUGGGAUUGGGGAUGGGCAAAGGGAGGGACACGAGGGCUGGGGGUGUGUUCUGGGCUGGCACGGGGAGCAAGGAAUUCUGGGAUGGAGAAGGGAAUGUCCCGAUGCCGCCUCCAUCUUGUGUUGGCUGCACGAGGCGAGUGGGGGGUGCAAAGCAAGGAUUUUGAGCUGCGGGAGCGGAAUCAUGAGACGGAGAAGGGUUAGGAACUGAAUUUACAUCUGCGCGGUUAGUUUUUUCAAAGCCGGGGACGCGGGGGGUUGCAGGGGACGCGAUGUGACCCUUUUCUCUUCCCCGGGCGUCCCGAGUGUCUGCACUCUCUUUCACAAAGUCAUAAACGAACAAAAAGAUUCUCAUAAAACCUUCUUUCACUGAGGGAUCUCCUGCCUUUGUCCUUUCACUCAACACUGCACCCACACGCUUCCAAAACUGUCUUUCAUUCACAUCUUGCUCUGUUACCUCCGAAAAACUUACUGAUACCCAUUUAACAAACUCUUUCACCAAACUCUCAGGAAGUUUUGCACCUGCUCUCUGCAGGGGUUCUUGAACUUGUUUAUAAAUCUCUUUCUGCUGUGUAGUCAGCGUAACACCCAUCGCUGGCUGCACAGCAAAGUCUCACCCAGCUGCUACAGUAAAAACCCCAAAGUUCUAAAGACCCGGCGGAGCUCCCGACACGCCUGCGCGCUGGCGUGUCCCCCCUUGGGCACACGGGAGCCUGACUCCAGUCUCCUGGCUGGACCCUUCCCGCCAGUACCGAGACUUACCCACCGCCGUUCUUCAGAAAACACACUGCAGCAACGGUUCCCGACUCCGCAAACAGUCUUCCGGGUGUUUGGAAGGUCCCGUUCGCAUCCACGGGCACAGCGCCGGACAGAAAUCGGUGCCUGUCCCCGCAGUGGCAGUCCUGCCGGGCUUGUGUGGAAGGGCGAGUGCCCACACCACCAGCGCGGUCCGAGAGCUUCUCCCCGCGGAGCUGACAGCCUGCGUGGCGGUUUUUUCGCACCGCUCGCCGCUCUGUCGCUCGCGGCGA